AGCACCCCGGAAGGGGAGUGAAAUAGAUCCUGAAACCGUGUGCCUACAACAAGUCAAAGCUCGUUAAUGAGUGAUGGCGUGCCUUUUGUAGAAUGAACCGGCGAGUUACGAUUGCAUGCGAGGUUAAGUCGAAGAGACGGAGCCGCAGCGAAAGCGAGUCUGAAUAGGGCGAAUGAGUAUGUAGUCGUAGACCCGAAACCAUGUGAUCUACCCAUGUCCAGGUUGAAGGUGCGGUAAAACGCACUGGAGGACCGAACCCACGUACGUUGAAAAGUGCGGGGAUGAGGUGUGGGUAGCGGAGAAAUUCCAAACGAACUUGGAGAUAGCUGGUUCUCUCCGAAAUAGCUUUAGGGCUAGCCUCGGAAUUGAGAAUGAUGGAGGUAGAGCACUGUUUGGACUAGGGGCCCAUCUCGGGUUACCGAAUUCAGAUAAACUCCGAAUGCCAUUCAUUCAUAUCCGGGAGUCAGACUGUGAGUGAUAAGAUCCAUAGUCGAAAGGGAAACAGCCCAGACCACCAGCUAAGGUCCCCAAAUAACUAUUAAGUGGAAAAGGAUGUGGGGUUGCACAGACAACUAGGAUGUUGGCUUAGAAGCAGCCACCAUUUAAAGAGUGCGUAAUAGCUCACUAGUCGAGUGACCCUGCGCCGAAAAUGUACCGGGGCUAAAUAGUUUACCGAAGCUGUGGAGUGCACCAU
RNAcentral lists this ribosomal RNA (694 nucleotides) under Listeria monocytogenes. RNAcentral's name for it is "partial 23S ribosomal RNA". It matches the Rfam family "Bacterial large subunit ribosomal RNA", at positions 520 to 1215 of the family's 2925-position model. The record is from RNAcentral. Lineage: Bacteria; Bacillati; Bacillota; Bacilli; Caryophanales; Listeriaceae.